GACGAACGCUGGCGGCGUGCUUAACACAUGCAAGUCGAACGAAGAGCGAUGGAAGCUUGCUUCUAUCAAUCUUAGUGGCGCACGGGUGAGUAACGCGUAAUCAACCUGCCCUUCAGGGGGGGACAACAGUUGGAAACGACUGCUAAUACCGCAUACGAUCCAAUCUCGGCAUCGAGGAUGGAUGAAAGGUGGCCUCUAUUUAUAAGCUAUCACUGAAGGAGGGGAUUGCGUCUGAUUAGCUAGUUGGAGGGGUAACGGCCCACCAAGGCGAUGAUCAGUAGCCGGUCUGAGAGGAUGAACGGCCACAUUGGGACUGAGACACGGCCCAGACUCCUACGGGAGGCAGCAGUGGGGAAUCUUCCGCAAUGGACGAAAGUCUGACGGAGCAACGCCGCGUGAGUGAUGACGGCCUUCGGGUUGUAAAGCUCUGUUAAUCGGGACGAAAGGUCCUCUUGCGAAUAGUUAGAGGAAUUGACGGUACCGGAAUAGAAAGCCACGGCUAACUACGUG
This 510-nucleotide ribosomal RNA is filed under the name uncultured bacterium. Its description in RNAcentral is "partial 16S ribosomal RNA". It matches the Rfam family "Bacterial small subunit ribosomal RNA", at positions 28 to 507 of the family's 1533-position model. The record is from RNAcentral.